This 427-nucleotide ribosomal RNA is filed under the name uncultured bacterium. RNAcentral describes it as "bacterial SSU rRNA". It matches the Rfam family "Bacterial small subunit ribosomal RNA", at positions 97 to 520 of the family's 1533-position model. The record is from RNAcentral.
GGCAAACGGGUGCGGAACGCGUACAGAAUCUACCUCUAUCUGGGGCAUAGCCCGAAGAAAUUCGGAUUAACUCCCCAUAAUAUAGAAGGGUGGCAUCACCAGACUAUUAAAAAUUUAUUGGAUAGAGAUGACUGUGCGUCCCAUUAGCUAGUUGGUAGGGUAACGGCCUACCAAGGCGACAAUGGGUAGCUGGUGUGAGAGCACGACCAGCCACACGGGCACUGAGACACGGGCCCAGACUCAUACGGGAGGCAGCAGUGAGGAAUAUUGGUCAAUGGACGCAAGUCUGAACCAGCCAUGCCGCGUGAAGGAUGAAGGCCUUCUGGGUUGUAAACUUCUUUUGAUCUGGGAAGAAAAUUACGGUUUCUACUGUAACCGACGGUACCAGAGGAAUAAGCACCGGCUAACUCCGUGCCAGCAGCCGCGG